RNAcentral lists this long non-coding RNA (8518 nucleotides) under Populus trichocarpa (black cottonwood). Its description in RNAcentral is "long non-coding RNA (PTRI_LNC003563)". Lineage: Eukaryota; Viridiplantae; Streptophyta; Magnoliopsida; Malpighiales; Salicaceae. The record is from RNAcentral.
AUGGGCUCCGCAAGUGGAAAUCUUGGGGCACAAAGCUGUUGGAGGAUUUGUAUCACAUUGUGGAUGGAAUUCUACCUUAGAAAGUAUUUUGUCUGGUGUCCCAAUGGCAACAUGGCCAUUGUAUGGAGAGCAACAAUUUAAUGCUUUUGAAAUGGUAAUUGAGCUAGGGCUAGCAGUGGAGAUUAAAAUAGAUUCUAGAAGGGAUUUUUCUAAAGAUGGUAUAAUUGUGAGUUCUGAUGAUAUAAAAAGAGGAUUAAAGUUAGUAAUGGAGCCUGAUAACGAGAUUAGAAAAAAGGUGAAAGAGAUGAGUCAACUAAGCAGGAAAGCUUUAAUGGAAGAUGGGUCGUCAUACUCUGCAUUGGCUCAUCUGAUUGAAGAUAUUAUGGGCAACUAUAAGUAGCAUUGUAAAUCUAAGUACCGAAAUUGUAAUAAGAUAAUAAAUAAAAGUUCAAAUUACUUUAAAUAUAGUGGAUCAUCCCUUGGCAUUAAUUUGGUUUAGUUAUCUAAAUUAAUAAUAAUAUUUUUCCAUCCGUUUGGUUGGAAUUUUUCCAGUCAUUUGGGCUUUUAGCUCAAAAUUAUAGUUUGGGCGGCUGGAAUUUUCAACUGGACAACUAAUAUUGAUCCGGUCUGUUUAAUUCUGACUUAGCACACCUUUUAUAUAUAUAAUUACUUAUAAGCAUACGCAAGGUUUUUUGUAUGCAGAGCAAACACCAUUAUAUAUGCUGAUGACACUAUGUAUUACCAGCAUUUUUUUUUUGUUUUAACGUGGGUAUCCGGGCCAGCUUGCGCGCACCUCGACUAAUCCCACAGGCCCUGAAGUUAACGACCAUGUAAGCCUCCAGUGGCCAUCAUAUGAGCAACCACAGGGCUCGAACCUGAGACCACAGAGGGAGCAAACCUCUUGGUCCCAAACUCUUACCACUAGGCGUAUUACCAGCAUUUUUAUCUAUAGUAUACAUGGCAUAAUCCAAUAACCAAUAAUAACUAUGAAUAGCCAAUAGUAACGCAUAAAUUUUAAAUUAUUGAGAAUUUAGCUUUUUAAUUGAACUCAGGUUAAGAAUUUUAUGGGUUGCAAGUUUUGAAAAUUAACCCAAAUUUAGAAGGUUCAUUUGGAUUUGCUUGGCUUUUUUAUUAUUUUUUUCAGCUCAAGUUUUUUUAAAAUUUUAUAAAUAAGCAUUUAUUCAAUUGGAGAUUAGAUUCUUUUAUUUUUAUUUCUUUGUUUUCUAUAAAAAAAAUUUAUUAUUUUUGAAAAUGACUCGGGUUAUUGGGUUAUCUUAGUUAUUUUUAUUUAUUUUUCUUUGUUGAAUUUACUUUGAAAAAAAAAUUAAUUGAUUUUUUUUCGAUUUCAUCCUUCAAUAUUAGAUUGGUUGGGAAUUAAUUUUUUUUUCAGUUCAAUCCUUUACGGUUAGAGUUUUUUUAUAUUGGACUUCAUGAUUUUUUUCGAUUUAUUUUCUAUUCGAUUAUCUCAGUUCUAUCAUUUAGAGACCAUAGGUUUGGUGGGUUAGCCUAUGUUGACUUAGGGUUUUUUAGGAUAUUUUUUUAUUUAAUAUUUUUCAUGUUUUAUUCUUCAACAGUACUAGGUUGUUUUAGAAUUAACCUUUGUAAUCUUUUUCGGUUUGUCUUCUAUUAGGUUAUCUUAUUUGCAUGAUUUAGAUCGCAAAGUUUGGUUAACUCACCCAAUUUGCUUAUUUGUUUUUUUUAUUUUUUAAUUGAUUUUUUUUUAAUUUCAUCAUUCUAUGCUGGAGUUGGACUUUGGUAUUUUUUUACUUUAUAUUGACAUAUCUUGGUCUUAUGACUUAGCUUGAGUAUUUGACAUGCUCAUUUAAGUUGGUUCACAGUGGUUUUUUCUUCUUUUUUUUCUAUUUUUUAUUUUUUUCUUUUUAAUUGGCUAAAUCUUAGUUUAUAUCAUCUUUUUUUUAUUUUAGCAACUUUUUUUUUUAGAUUCUCAUGAUUUGUUUUUUAAUUUAAAAUGAUUUAAUUUUUAUUUUAUUAUCUAAUUAAAUUAUACCAAUUUCUUUCUUGAUGUGAACCCACAAAUCUAGCAGACAUUGAAAAUCGAGAAAAUUAAUACUUCUCAAAUUUUCAAAUCCUUCUCAAAUAAUAUAGAAAAUUAACUCUUCUUAAAAGAUGAUUAAUUUGGUAUUGUUUCGUUCACAAUAUAAUUUUAGUUGAUCCUUGUUGAGAAACAGAAUUCCCUAAGAAAUUGUGUGUACCCAAAUGACUUGAGAAAAUAGCUGACAGACUCUGCGUGUCUCUGUUUCUAUUGAAUUGUAUAUUAUUUCCUCUAUAAUUAUUUAGGUCUUCCUUUGUAUGCAUAACCAAUACAGCAAGAGUUAUAUCCUUGUACGGAGAAGUAUUUAAAAUAAUCAAUAGAAAACACAUUACUCUAACAUAAACAUAUAUUCGGUAAUAGAAAAGCAUUUUCCAUUUUCUUUUUCGGUUUUGUUCUUUUAGUUUUUAUUUUCACAAAAAUUAAAAAAAUUAUUUAUUUUAGCAACUCAGAAAACUAUAAAAUAUAUUCAUAGUGUUUUAUAAGGAGAAAAAUGACAAAGUAAUUAUUGUGUUCAAAUUAAUUUGUUUUUCUAGACAUUCUUUAUAUUUUAACAUAAACAUAUAUUUGUUUCUCAUCUUAAAUAUCUCAUUCAUUUUUCAUUUAUUUAUUAUUGUUUUGAGGGAAAAGUUUUUAAUAUUAUAUUUCUCUCUGAUUAAGAGACUACCUCCUAUACUAACACCUCUAAAACAGAACCUGAGAAACGACCGAGAAAACCCAAUGAUACUCAAUCCUCAUAAUAAAAAGAAAAUACCAUAAAUUUUAUCCUCAAUAAUUAUAAAAAAUCUAUAUUACAACUCUCCUCUUAAAUAAUGCAAAUAAAAUCCUAAAUUAACUAGAAAAUUAUGAUCAAUCCCAGUAGUAUAUUUUGGAGGCCUUAAUUUGUAGAUUUAAUGUUUGUGAAUAUAUUAGAAUAUUAUCUAUGAAUUUAAACUCUAGAUUUAAGAAAAAAAAUCAAAACUUAAAAGAAAAGGAAAUUACUAAAAUAUAAGGUUAAGAAAAAUAUGUAAAAAUCUACAAAUUUCAAAUUUAAAACUUUUUAUUUUUACAAUGAAUUUUAAAAGUUAAGAGGUUGAAAAAUUAAUUUUUACCAUUAUUAAUAUUUGCUUAGUCAUUAUAAAUUAAUGAUUAAAUCUAAAAAAAUUAGAGUGUUUUUUAGUAAGAAAACCAAAGAUUUUUAAAAAUUAAUUUUUUAUUCACUCAUAAUUUAUUUAAAUUAUUUUAAUUAAGAUAAAUUUCCAACAUAACUACUUCAUAUGGCUAAAAAAAAAAAUUAACCUUAUAGGAAUGAGAAUUUCUAGAUUCUACGUCAUUAAUACGGUUAAUUGUGGCAGAUUUUGUGCCACACCCACAAAGCCAGUCAAUGCCAGCAAAGCCACGCAAUUGUUCACUUUCCAACAAGAUCAGUUCCAACAUUAUAUGGUCCAGACAAAAAAACACCUAAAGAAUUAUCUCUUCCAAUUUUAUGCCUACUCCAUUCCAUAUUUGAUCUGUCUGUAUAGUACAAAGUAAUUGCAAAAUCUUUGCAAAUUGCAACCAAAAUGAAGAUAGCGGAGCUGGUGUUCAUCCCAUUUCCAGCCAUGGGCCAUGUGGUACCAGCAGUGGAAACAGCUAAACUUCUUGUUGAAUUUGACAAUCGAGUUUCCACCACUGUUCUUCUAAUGAAACCAGCUAUUGACUCGAGUACCAUCAAGUAUACCGAGUCACUUGCUGCAUCAACUUUGCCUGACCGUAUGCGAUUCAUUGAAUUGCCUUCUCUUGAUGAACUCAGAUCAAGAAAAGGUAUUUGGCUAGAUUCUUUGAUAGAGGGUCAAAAACCCCAUGUCAGAGAAUUUGUUUCGAAGAUCGUUUCAAAGUCCGAUCUGAGCCCUGACUCGCCUCGACUUGCUGGAUUUGUUUUUGAUGCGUUUUGCACGGGAAUGAAAGAUUUGGCCGAUGAAUUUGGUGUUCCCUGGUACGUUUUCUCUUCCUCAGGAGCAGCUUUUCUUGGUUGCUUGUCAUAUUUACAGGUUCUUCAUGAUGAGCAGAACAUGGACAUAACUGAGUUCAAGAACUCAGAUGCUAUGUUAGAAAUUCCGAGUUUUGUGAACCCAAUGGCUGCUAGGCUUCUGCCAUCUAUGACGUUUAGGAAAGAUUCGGUCCUUGUUUUGGUCGGCGCUGCUAGAAGGUUAAGGGAAGCUAGUGGUAUUGUUGUAAAUACAUUUAUAGAGUUGGAAUCCUAUGCAGUUAACUCCCUUUCUAAAAUUGGCAUCCCACCGUUGUAUCCAGUGGGACCCAUUGUGAAUGUGGGGUCAGAUAAAAGCAAUGACAAUAGAGAAAUUAUGGAAUGGCUUGAUGAUCAACCCCCAUCAUCUGUAGUGUUCUUGUGCUUUGGAAGCCUGGGAAGUUUUUGUGUGGAUCAGGUGAAAGAGAUUGCAUAUGCUCUCGAACACAGUGGGAAAAGAUUUUUAUGGGUUCUACAAAAACCUUCAAAAGGUAAGACGGAAUCCGCAAGUGAUUUUCAAGAAACUUUACCCGAAGGAUUUUUAGAUCGAACAACUGAGCUCGGAAAGGUGAUUGGUUGGGCUCCGCAGGCAGAAAUAUUAGCCCACCGAGCUAUCGGAGGGUUUGUUUCGCACUGCGGAUGGAAUUCUAUACUAGAAAGUAUAUACUUCGGUGUUCCAAUUGCUGCAUGGCCGAUAUACGCAGAACAGCAAUUUAAUGCUUUUCAAUUAGUGAUUGAAUUGGGAUUAGGAGGAGAGAUUAAGAUAGAUUACAUAGAGGGUUCUAACAGUGAUGGCUAUGAAAUUGUGAGUGCUGACAGUAUAAAGAAAGGAAUAGAGGGUAUAAUGGAGGACGAUAGUGAAAUAAGAAAACGGGUGAAAAAUAUGAGUCAAGUAAGCAAGCAAGCCUUGACUGCUGGUGGAUCUUCACACUCUUCACUGGGUCGUCUAAUUGCAGAUGUUAUGAGCAACAUUCCAUGAAGUAAUUGAUUUUCCUAGAGGAAAUUAUUUUGAAUAAGAUUUUAUAGGUUUAAGCUUCUAUUUAGAGCAGCUUAAUUAAUUGAGGAGCCUUCAGCAUGAGGAGGUUUUUCAAUUUUGCAUUAUUGUAAACUUAAAUUAUUAAGUUUGACAGAUGUAGUGGAGUCAUGAGACAUUUUACAAUUAAGAUGUUAGCUCACAACUUUAUAAUUAGUUUUCCUUCCACUUCUAUAUUAAGUGAAUUAUAUAUAACUGUAAUUAUAUUCAUAACAAUAAUUAUAUAGUAAGAAAAAAGAAUCGCACAUUUAGUUAAUAAAUAAUUUAAUUAUUCAAUUUAUAUUAUCAACAUUUUUUUUAGAAUUCAUUCUUCAAUCAAAAAUUAUAUUUUUUUUUUUUCAGUUUAGCUUUUAUUCUUUUGAUUUUUUUUUUACUGAUUUUUUUCUUUUUAAUUUAGCCCUCCAAUUUAAUUUUUAAAUGCCUUCAAAUUUAUUUUUUAUUUUGGUUUCCACCUUUAUUUUUUUUAUUUUUUAUGUGGUUGAUUUUUUUCAUAGUUACAUUCUUCGAUGGUUGAUUUAUUUGGAUUAAUUAAGCUUCACAGUUUUUUCAUUUGUCAUGCUUCUAAUUUAAUAACUACGGUCACAACUUUUAAGUGUUAAUACAAUUAGUAAUUUUUUUACCUCAUUUUAUUUUAUGAUUUUAUCAUUCUACAUUAUUUAAAAAAUAUUGUUUUGUGGUUACUUUCAUAUUUUUUUAUAUUUGUCUAUCUCGGUAUCAAUACAUAAACCACGGGUUUUGUAAAGUUGUUUUUGAAUAAUGGUUUUUUUGAAAGAAAAAAAACUGUUUUGUUUUGUGUUUAAUUUUUGCUAAUUUUUUAUUUUACUUUAUAAAAGUAGGUUUUGUUUUGUACAAAAAAAAAUAGUUAUUUUGAAAUAAUAUUUAUAAUAUGUUCAGCUAUGCAUAAUUAAUGAACAAAUUUAGUGGACACAAAUAAAUAAAUAUCUCAUUUUACAAGAUCAAAUAUCUUAAUCUACGUCUAUUUUUUAACUUUUCCUGUUUCUAUUUUAGUUAUUGUUAACAAAUUAUUUAUUUAUUUAAUCAUUAGAUGUUUGGAUAAAAAAAUUUUAUUUACACUUAUAAUUUUUAUUAUGUAAGAAAAAACAUUUCAAAAUAGUUUGUAUACUCAAGCUUUUUUAUGUUUUGAGAAAAAAUAUUACGACCCGCUAUGGAGCACAAAUCAAAUCAAAUUUUUAGUUGCCCUCUAAUUAAUUCUUUUUUCACCUUUAUUUUUUUAGAUCCUUUUGUGUAAUUGAUUUUUAUUUUUGAUUUCAUCUUUCAAUAUUUAAUUUGUUGGAGAUUCUGCUUCAUAUGAUCUUAUCAGUCUGCAUUUGUUUUUUUUAAAACAAUAUUAGUUUUGUAAUUAUCUUUAAUUUCUUUUCUAUAAAUUUAUUUCAUUCAUAUAAUUCAGGUCAUGGGUUUUGCAUGCCUUUUUUUAAUAUAAGUUUUUUAUAGAGUUGUUUGGUUUGUGUUUGGUUUUUCAAAAUGUUAUCCUAAUUCAUCUAGAAUUUUUUUGGGGUUUUAUACAAAUGAGGUUUAUUUUUUAAAAUAAAAAAUAUUAAUUUAAAUAUUUUUAAAUAAUAUUUAUUGAUGUAUUUUGGCCUUGUAUAAUAUUUUUUUUGGGUAUGAGUUUAUUUAGUCAAUUUUAUUUGUGUUUAUCUUUUAAGUCAUGAGUUUUUUAGGUUGUGGAUUUAUCUUUUAUUAAUUUUAAUAAACAAGUGUAUUAAACACAAUCACGUGAAUGUCUCAUUUUGUGUGGUAAAAUAUCUUGAUUUACAUCCAUUUCUCAAUUUUAUCAAUUUGUUUUUGGUUGUUGUUAAUGAUUUUUCGUUUAUUUAUAUAAAUAAUUAUUAAUUUAUUUAAUGAGAUAUUUACAUAAAUAUUUAAAUUUCAAAUUUCAAAUUUUUUUAUAUUAAAAAACAUCUACAUAGCGAAUAUUUAAAAAAAAAAUCAUAACAUGUGGCAAAGCGCGGCUUAAAUGGCUAUUCGUGUCCCAUUUGUUGAAACUUCACACUCGAAGAUGAUAUUUGAAACAAGAUCAGCCAUUCAUAUAUGCUAUCAAUCAAUAAUUCAGUACUUUCAUUUUCUUGUAGAAUAGUUGGCUAUAAUUACAUGUCCGGGAAUCAUUCAAACAAAGCAUGAACACUAGCUUAGCAACACCAAAUUUUAGCUAUGAAGAAAGCAGAGUUAGUGUUCAUCCCUUUACCUGCCAUGGGCCAUAUUAUAGCAGCAGUAGAGAUUGCCAAGCUUAUUGUUGAACGUGAUGAUCGAAUUUCCACAAGCGUCCUCAUAAUGAGGCCAACUCUUGACUCCACUACCACCAAAUACACUGAGUCACUCACUCCAUCAACUCUACCCAAUCGCAUGCGAGUCGUUGAUUUGCCCUGUCUUGAGCACACCGCUGUACAUAACACUGGUGCUAGCUGGAUGGCUUCUCUGGCUGAAGCUCACAAAAACCAUGUCAAAGAAUUUGUUUCCAAGAUCAAGGCUCAGUCAGAGUUGAGCCCAAAUGACUCUCCUCGAAUUGCUGGGUUUGUUUUGGAUACUUUUGUUUUGGGAAUGGAUGAUUUGGCUGGAGAAUUUGGUGUUCCCUGGUAUGUUUUCUCGGCUUCAGGUGCAGCUUUUAUCGGCUCGAUGUUGUAUCUUCAGGCCCUUCAUGAUGAGCAGAAAGCGGAUCUCCCUGAGUACAAAGACUCGGAUGCUGAGUUGGAAAUUCCAAGCUUGGUGAACAGGCUUCCUGCUAAGCUCCUGCCUUCUUUGGUGUUUAACAGAGAAUCUCUCCCUAUUUUUCUUGGUGCUGCAAGAAGGUUGAAGCACGCAAGGGGCAUUUUGAUAAAUACAUUCGAAGAGUUAGAAUCGCAUGCAAUAAACUCUCUUUCUAAGGGUGAAUCCCUCCUGUAUAUCCGUUGGGACCAGUUGUGAGAUGUAAAGGAAACAGCUAUGAUGUGGGAUCAAGUCAAAUCAACGACUACAAGGACAUAAUGCAAUGGCUUGAUGAUCAGCCUCCAUGCUCAGUAGUGUUUUUGUGCUUCGGGAGUUGGGGAAGUUUCAGCGUUGAUCAAGUGAAAGAGACUGCAUAUGCAUUGGAGCAAUGUGGACAUCGAUUCUUGUGGUGUCUGCGUGAACGUCCAUGCAAGGGUAAGAUUGAAUCACCAAGUGAUUAUGUAAAUUUUCAAGACAUUUGCCUGAAGGGUUUUUAGAUCGAUCAGUUAAGAUAGGAAAGGUGAUUAAAUGGGCUCCGCAAGUGGAAAUCUUGGGGCACAAAGCUAUUGGAGGAUUUGUAUCACAUUGUGGAUGGAAUUCUACCUUAGAAAGUACUUUGUCUGGUGUACCAAUUGCCACAUGGCCAUUGUAUGGAGAGCAACAAUUUAAUGCUUUCGAAAUAGUGAUUGAGUUAGGGUUAGGAGUGGAGAUUAAAAUAGAUUCUGGAAUUGAUAUUAUCGAAGGUGCUAUC